AAGUCGUAACAAGGUUUCCGUAGGUGAACCUGCGGAAGGAUCAUUACCGAGUUAGGGUCUUAUAGUAUAGGCUCGACCUCCAACCCUUUGUCUACUAUACCACUUGUUGCUUCGGCGAGCCCGUCUCUUGAAAUAUAGAGGCCGCCGGGGGUUUAUACCCCUAGUCCGCGCUCGUCGAUAGCCAUUAUUAAACUCUUGUUUAACUGUGUCGUCUAAGUAAAAAACUUAAUUAAACCAAAACUUUCAACAACGGAUCUCUUGGUUCUG
This 267-nucleotide unclassified non-coding RNA is filed under the name air metagenome. RNAcentral's name for it is "partial contains small subunit ribosomal RNA, internal transcribed spacer 1, and 5.8S ribosomal RNA". The stretch from base 1 to 46 matches the Rfam family "Eukaryotic small subunit ribosomal RNA", at positions 1786 to 1831 of the family's 1831-position model. The record is from RNAcentral.